Populus euphratica (Euphrates poplar) is the source of this 99-nucleotide long non-coding RNA. RefSeq lists it as uncharacterized. The record is from RefSeq and is a predicted model, not a curated record. NCBI's taxonomy places the organism in Eukaryota, Viridiplantae, Streptophyta, Magnoliopsida, Malpighiales, Salicaceae. The transcript is spliced from 2 exons.
AGGUUUUAGGUGGACUGUGGUCCUGUAGUUUUUCCCGCAUCGAGUUUUCCACGCAAAAAUCUUAGUGUUGAUUUGUGUGAUUAUUGCUUUAUAUUUGUU